This 87-nucleotide transfer RNA is filed under the name Alphaproteobacteria bacterium. RNAcentral describes it as "tRNA-Leu". It matches the Rfam family "tRNA". Rfam says of the family: Transfer RNA (tRNA) molecules are approximately 80 nucleotides in length. Their secondary structure includes four short double-helical elements and three loops (D, anti-codon, and T loops). RNAcentral also lists the same sequence under 2 other names. Lineage: Bacteria; Pseudomonadati; Pseudomonadota; Alphaproteobacteria. The record is from RNAcentral.
GCCCAGAUGGCGGAAUUGGUAGACGCGCUAGAUUCAGGGUCUAGUGGCCUUACGGUCGUGGAAGUUCGAGUCUUCUUCUGGGCACCA